RNAcentral lists this ribosomal RNA (460 nucleotides) under uncultured bacterium. RNAcentral's name for it is "partial 16S ribosomal RNA". It matches the Rfam family "Bacterial small subunit ribosomal RNA", at positions 338 to 795 of the family's 1533-position model. The record is from RNAcentral.
CCUACGGGAGGCUGCAGUGAGGAAUAUUGGUCAAUGGGCGCGCGCCUGAACCAGCCAAGUAGCGUGAAGGAUGACUGCCCUACGGGUUGUCAACUUCUUUUAUAAAGGAAUAAAGUGAGGCACGUGUGCCUUUUUGUAUGUCCUUUAUGAAUAUGGAUCGGCUAACUCCUUUCCAGCAGCCGCGGUAAUACUGAGGAUCCGAGCGUUAUCCGGAUUUAUUGGGUUUAAAGGGAGCGUAGAUGGGUUGUUAAGUCAGUUGUGAAAGUUUGCGGCUCAACCGUAAAAUUGCAAUUGAUACUGGCAGCAUUGAGUACAGUUGAGGUAGGCGGAAUUAGUGGUGGAGCGGUGAAAUGCUUAGAUAUCACGAAGAACUCCGAGUGCGAAGGCAGCCUACUAAACUGCCACUGACACUGAUGCGCGAAAGUGUGGGUAUCAAACAGGAGUAGAUACCCCAGUAGUC